UAACGCGUGGGAAUCUACCCAGUAGUGGGGGACGACUACCGGAAACGGUAGCUAAUACCGCAUACGCCCUAUGGGGGAAAGGCUUCGGCCGCUAUUGGAUGAGCCCGCGUCAGAUUAGCUAGUUGGUAGGGUAAAGGCCUACCAAGGCAACGAUCUGUAGCUGGUCUGAGAGGACGAACAGCCACACUGGGACUGAGACACGGCCCAGACUCCUACGGGAGGCAGCAGUGGGGAAUAUUGGACAAUGGGCGAAAGCCUGAUCCAGCAAUGCCGCGUGUGUGAAGAAGGCCUGCGGGUUGUAAAGCACUUUCAGUUGGGAAGAUGAUGACGUUACCAACAGAAGAAGCACCGGCUAAAUCCGUGCCAGCAGCCGCGGUAAUACGGAUGGUGCGAGCGUUAAUCGGAAUUACUGGGCGUAAAGCGCACGCAGGCGGUUUGUUAAGCUAGAUGUGAAAGCCCCGGGCUCAACCUGGGAUGGUCAUUUAGAACUGGCAGACUAGAGUCUUGGAGAGGGGAGUGGAAUUCCAGGUGUAGCGGUGAAAUGCGUAGAUAUCUGGAGGAACAUCAGUGGCGAAGGCGACUCCCUGGCCAAAGACUGACGCUCAUGUGCGAAAGUGUGGGUAGCGAACAGGAUUAGAUACCCUGGUAG
RNAcentral lists this ribosomal RNA (649 nucleotides) under uncultured Gammaproteobacteria bacterium. RNAcentral describes it as "bacterial SSU rRNA". It matches the Rfam family "Bacterial small subunit ribosomal RNA", at positions 111 to 793 of the family's 1533-position model. The record is from RNAcentral. Lineage: Bacteria; Pseudomonadati; Pseudomonadota; Gammaproteobacteria.